CCUACGGGAGGCAGCAGUGGGGAAUAUUGCACAAUGGGGGAAACCCUGAUGCAGCGCCGCCGCGUGAGUGAAGAAGUAAUUCGUUAUGUAAAGCUCUAUCAGCAGGGAAGAAAAUGACGGUACCUGAGUAAGAAGCCCCGGCUAACUACGUGCCAGCAGCCGCGGUAAGACGUAGGGGGCAAGCGUUAUCCGGAUUUACUGGGUGUAAAGGGAGCGUAGACGGCAGUGCAAGUCUGGAGUGAAAGGCGGGGGCUCAACCCCCGGACUGCUCUGGAAACUGUACGGCUGGAGUGCAGGAGAGGUAAGUGGAAUUCCUAGUGUAGCGGUGAAAUGCGUAGAUAUUAGGAGGAACACCAGUGGCGAAGGCGGCUUACUGGACUGUAACUGACGUUGAGGCUCGAAAGCGUGGGGAGCAAACAGGAUUAGAUACCCUUGUAGUC
RNAcentral lists this ribosomal RNA (440 nucleotides) under uncultured bacterium. RNAcentral's name for it is "partial 16S ribosomal RNA". It matches the Rfam family "Bacterial small subunit ribosomal RNA", at positions 338 to 795 of the family's 1533-position model. The record is from RNAcentral.